RNAcentral lists this antisense RNA (69 nucleotides) under Amycolatopsis sp. YIM 10. RNAcentral's name for it is "ASpks TB sRNA". It matches the Rfam family "ASpks TB sRNA". The record is from Rfam by way of RNAcentral. Lineage: Bacteria; Bacillati; Actinomycetota; Actinomycetes; Pseudonocardiales; Pseudonocardiaceae.
CUUGAUCGACCCCAGCAGCAACGGCCGCUCACGGUCCUGCCCAUAGGUCGCCAGCAGCGCCUGCGCCUC